Molecule: ribosomal RNA, 466 nt
Filed under: uncultured microorganism
Description: bacterial SSU rRNA
Rfam family: Bacterial small subunit ribosomal RNA
Source: RNAcentral
GAGUUUGAUCCUGGCUCAGAACGAACGCUGGCGGCAUGCCUAACACAUGCAAGUCGAACGAACUCUUCGGAGUUAGUGGCGCACGGGUGCGUAACGCGUGGGAAUCUGCCCUUGGGUACGGAAUAACUCAGAGAAAUUUGUGCUAAUACCGUAUAAUGACUUCGGUCCAAAGAUUUAUCGCCCAAGGAUGAGCCCGCGUAAGAUUAGCUAGUUGGUGGGUAAAGGCCUACCAAGGCUACGAUCUUUAGCUGGUCUGAGAGGAUGAUCAGCCACACUGGGACUGAGACACGGCCCAGACUCCUACGGGAGGCAGCAGUGGGGAAUAUUGGACAAUGGGCGAAAGCCUGAUCCAGCAAUGCCGCGUGAGUGAUGAAGGCCUUAGGGUUGUAAAGCUCUUUUACCCGGGAUGAUAAUGACAGUACCGGGAGAAUAAAGCUCCGGCUAACUCCGUGCCAGCCGCCGCCGU